UGCAGUCGAGCGAAUCGAUGGGAGCUUGCUCCCUGAGAUUAGCGGCGGACGGGUGAGUAACACGUGGGCAACCUGCCUAUAAGACUGGGAUAACUUCGGGAAACCGGAGCUAAUACCGGAUACGUUCUUUUCUCGCAUGAGAGAAGAUGGAAAGACGGUUUACGCUGUCACUUAUAGAUGGGCCCGCGGCGCAUUAGCUAGUUGGUGAGGUAAUGGCUCACCAAGGCGACGAUGCGUAGCCGACCUGAGAGGGUGAUCGGCCACACUGGGACUGAGACACGGCCCAGACUCCUACGGGAGGCAGCAGUAGGGAAUCUUCCGCAAUGGACGAAAGUCUGACGGAGCAACGCCGCGUGAACGAAGAAGGCCUUCGGGUCGUAAAGUUCUGUUGUUAGGGAAGAACAAGUACCAGAGUAACUGCUGGUACCUUGACGGUACCUAACCAGAAAGCCACGGCUAACUACGUGCCAGCAGCCGCGGUAAUACGUAGGUGGCAAGCGUUGUCCGGAAUUAUUGGGCGUAAAGCGCGCGCAGGUGGUUCCUUAAGUCUGAUGUGAAAGCCCACGGCUCAACCGUGGAGGGUCAUUGGAAACUGGGGAACUUGAGUGCAGAAGAGGAAAGUGGAAUUCCAAGUGUAGCGGUGAAAUGCGUAGAGAUUUGGAGGAACACCAGUGGCGAA
This 679-nucleotide ribosomal RNA is filed under the name Peribacillus simplex. RNAcentral describes it as "bacterial SSU rRNA". It matches the Rfam family "Bacterial small subunit ribosomal RNA", at positions 56 to 719 of the family's 1533-position model. The record is from RNAcentral. Lineage: Bacteria; Bacillati; Bacillota; Bacilli; Caryophanales; Bacillaceae.